GACGAACGCUGGCGGCGUGCUUAACACAUGCAAGUCGAACGGAGUUACGUAUGAAGUAUUUCGGUACGGACUAUGUAACUUAGUGGCGAACGGGUGAGUAACACGUGGGCAACCUGCCCUUAACCGGGGGAUAACAUUGUGAAAACAGUGCUAAUACCGCAUAACAGAGUAUCGGGCAUCCGAUAUUUUUAAAAGGAGCAAUCCGGUUUAGGAUGGGCCCGCGUCCAAUUAGCUAGUUGGUGAGGUAACGGCUCACCAAGGCUACGAUUGGUAGCCGAACUGAGAGGUUGAUCGGCCACAUUGGGACUGAGACACGGCCCAGACUCCUACGGGAGGCAGCAGUGGGGAAUAUUGGGCAAUGGGCGAAAGCCUGACCCAGCGACGCCGCGUGAAGGAUGAAGGUCUUCGGAUUGUAAACUUCUUUGAUCAGGAAGAAAGAAAUGACGGUACCUGAAGAACAAGCCACGGCUAACUACGUG
This 479-nucleotide ribosomal RNA is filed under the name uncultured bacterium. RNAcentral describes it as "bacterial SSU rRNA". It matches the Rfam family "Bacterial small subunit ribosomal RNA", at positions 28 to 507 of the family's 1533-position model. The record is from RNAcentral.